AUGGGUUAUCAGUUUCCUUUCAACAAACAGAGCGCAGCCCUCCCACUUUGCAGUCAGAAGGAGAUGAAGAAAACAUGGGUUGAUACACAUCAGUCACUCAUUCGAGCCACUUGGCACCAUAAAGGCACCUUUUCCCUCCGAGUUUGCUCAGCCUGGUCUCUCAGCAGCCCCCAGCCCUACUGUCCGGCCGCUCUGGCUCGAGGCUUGCAGCGGCUGUGCACGGAGUUGGGCCCAGCGCAGCCGUGCGUGGGCUUCUCCAGCUGCAGGCCGCAGGCGUUCCUUGUUCCCCCAAACCACCAUGAUCCCUCUCCAUUGCCCCUUCAGGUCCUUGUGCACUCCCCAGAUUCUCCUGCCUAAGCCCACGUCCCUGCAGGUCCCCCAGCCUCUGAGGUGGCCCAAGGGAGAGCCUCUCCCGUCGGCUUGGCUAGGGGACCGUGGGAUGGUGACUCUCCAGCGUCAGCCCUGAGGAUAAGAGGAGAUGCGGCAGGGGGCUCGGGGGUCUCCAGUUCAGUAUCAGUGCUCACGGAGCUGAGCCUUAAUCCCAUAACCUAACAGUCACCGACAUAAAAGGAAAACCUGAAGGGACUUCACCAUCUUCUCUCCUCCUUCAGCAUUUCCCAGCCAUGUUUCACCUCCUGGGAGGGCCGCACACCCCAAGCAGGAAAAUUUAUGUUGCUGCAAGCCGCUUCUAAGGGGUCUGUGGUAGUGUGUGGCUGCAGGGUGCUGAGCUCUACAGUCCCACCCCUGAGGAAGGAGCUGCAGGAUCAUAGCAGCCCAGGCGGAGGAUUACCUUAACCGCUGGCUGUGGAGAUCAGCGCUUCAUCACAUAGCCUAGCACCAAGCACCAGAAUCGAAUGCCCAAAACAUAACAGGAACAUCACUUCAGAGUGAUUCUGCCACAACCAUCUAAGUCACAAAUCCAACUGGAAACACUGCUCUGCCACACGCUAUAACUUUCCUAGUGGUGCACUUGCAGCAUGCCGUCCCUGAAGGACAUUAGUUGGCUGAAAUAGCAACCUUGCAAGCAUGAGGUGGAAAUUUUUCCACUUCGGAGCAAAAAGAGCUGAAGCACCUCUUCUUGCUAUGAAGACAUGUGAUACUUCUACAGGGGAACUGUGCAAAUGACCUGAUUUUAGUACCUUGUAUCUGUUGUGGUUUCCCCAUAACAUUUCAGCAAUUGAGAAAAAAAAAAAAAAGGCAAAAAAAAAAAAGCUCACCAACACAGAAUUAAAGCUGCUAAGAAACUGAAAAACAACCGUAUGGCUUGUUUUUAAACUUAGAUAUAUCCCGUACAAGGGUCAGCUGCAGACGCAGUGCACAAUCCAGUUAGGUUCUGAAUUCAUAUUUUCUACGAGAUUCUUUCAAGUACCUAAGGUUAAAAACCUUAUACUAGAGUCGACAUUAAGCUACCAUAUUUGCAAAUGAUGGCCUUUCUCUGCUGGACAGUUAGCAUGUACAUGAACAUCUGCACAAAUAAAUAGUGUAACAAAACUGUUUCUACA
RNAcentral lists this long non-coding RNA (1502 nucleotides) under Anser brachyrhynchus (Pink-footed goose). Its description in RNAcentral is "lncRNA (ENSABRG00000009282.1)". Lineage: Eukaryota; Metazoa; Chordata; Aves; Anseriformes; Anatidae. The record is from RNAcentral.